This 2945-nucleotide long non-coding RNA is filed under the name Sorghum bicolor (sorghum). RNAcentral's name for it is "long non-coding RNA (SBIC_LNC007969)". Lineage: Eukaryota; Viridiplantae; Streptophyta; Magnoliopsida; Poales; Poaceae. The record is from RNAcentral.
GAGUGGUUAAAAGAUAGAACAGUCCCGUCAAGUGCCAUGUCUCUUAUUCUUGAUCAGCUAUAGCUCUGGAGUUUUUGCAGAUUUUCAAAUAAAACUCAGAGAUUCCUUUGUAUGACUCUCUCAUAUCUCUCUUUUGUGGUAUUUCUGGAUCCUUAGCAAGGCAGUGAUGGUAUAUGCCUUCUCUCAAAAUAUGUGGUAUUUGUGGUAUAAGGCAUAGUGACAUUGCCUUCUCUCUCACCCUACUCUAAUAAGGCUUUAAUAUCUGGAGCUCAUAGGUGGGAGAUAAAGUAUACAUACUUACAAGACAUUUAUUGUAUAGUCAAACCAUGGAUCCAAAGAAACAAAUCAAUAAGCCAAAUCAAGAUGUGCAUGUGUGGCGAAUGAAUGGUGUAUAGUGAUGAUGGUGAUAACAAUGGUGAAAGUCUAAUUCUACUUUUGCUCUUAUGAGGGGAUACAUACCUUCCUUGCUUUUUGAAACUUUAUGAGGAGAAUGAGAUGCUCUUCUUUUUCUUUCCUCUCAGGUGGGUAUCUUGUACCCCUAAUUCUACUGUCGGACACUUGUCCAUUUUUACCUCUCGUCUCACUUUUUCUUUCUUUCGAGGUUCCGGGCACUUGCCCUUUUUUUAUUUCCUCGUUUAUUAUUAUUAUUAUUUUUUUUCUUUUCUUCUCUUUUCUUUUUUUUAGACCACUCAUCUCCUGAAAUAAUUUAGCAAGUGGUAGUAACCAAAAUAACUGGAGCAUUUAUUUCACAGGGAAUAACAGGGAUAGGAAAAUGUUUUUGGCUAUUCUUUCCCGGAUUAGGAGUAGAAUGAUUUUGGGUGAAACUGGAGAUGGAAAUGGAUGGAUAUAUGUGGAUGGUACUUCCGGAGUAGAAGUAGCAUAUAUGAGUGAACGUGCAAGUGAAUCUUGAUUUAACCACAUGACAAGCUCCUAAGGGUCUACACAGCUUGACCACACUCAAUGCUCAUAAGCAGUAAAUAAAUGUGUGGCUCAAAGUCUAGCAAGCAUGUAUAUAUGGCUGUGGUAGGAAUUUAAACUUCAUCAUACAGGAACUCAUCAUACAAUAUUUUAAAGAUUUUCAAAGAUAAAAUUCUCCAGAAUUCUAGCAUCUCUAGGAACAGAUAAACAGCAGCUCAACCUUCCCAUAUCUUAUCCGUUAACAACUUAGAUUUCAGAUCAAGUUUUCAUCCCACAAGUUUAGAUCUAGAGCAAGCUUUAAAUUAUAACAGUUAUGUCUAAACUUGAGAGAGAAUUUUAAAUUUGCAAAUUAGGCAGAGCAACUAUUCAUCAUAUCCAUGCUAGAGUUUUAUUAUUAAGAUUCAUAGCAAACUUUAUUUAUUUAUUUAUUUAUUUAUUUAGCAAACUAAGAAAAGAUAUAUAUAUAUAUAUAAGCAUAAAAUCUUUAUUUGGUUUUUCAUAGUUUAUGUAUUUUAAUAUUCUAAUAUAAUAUAAGUAUAAAGAUAGGUAGAAAUACUUAGCGAGAUAAAUAGGGGUGCUCUCCCCCAAGCUGAAUUUUGACGUAAUUUCUCUUGAUGUAGCUAGCAGGUGGCAGAGGUGUAUUUGAAAGUCAGCAGCAUUCUGACAGCGAUUAGAAUGUCCUCCGUCUGCUAGUCUUUUUGAUUCUUAAAUUCUGUGAAGCUCAAAUGGACAACAAAGCUUGUGGAACUAAUUAAGUGUUAGCAUAAAUAUCUAGCCUUCAUCACGUUGAGCUUCCUCAAUAAAUAUUACUCCCUAUUUUUAUAUUUUUAUUUUAUAAAGUAGAAAAGAAAUAUUUAUUUUAUUUUUAUGCCACCACAGUGAAGGUACUUAUGGGUUUUAUGCCACUCGUAUACUCACAUGGGGCUUAUUAUUUUUUAACAUUUUUAUUUUCUUUUCAAGAUAGCAUGAUUAACUAAAAAUCUAUUUAAGGAAAGUAAAUAAUUAAAGGGAAAAGGGAAUGCAGAAAGGAUAAAUAUGGAUAACUACCAAUCUUACCUUUCGGCGAGGGUUCAAUGUUUUAAGUCUUCUUGACAAGACUUCUCACCGUGUUCAUUCUUCAGGUGCGUCAUUUGAUUCAGGUGCGGACCUUGACGUCUGCACCUUUUAAUACGGUGUCACCCAUGUUCUUCGUUUGCCCAGCAGUUCGAAGUGAGGUGUUAGCAGUAUCUUGCUCAGUGUGUUUGUGCUCGUAGUGUACCUGCUCAUAGAGACAAGGCAGAGAUCAAGUGCAUGGGCCCUGUUGGUGGAAAACACCAACAGAACCAAAAGUGUAUUUGUUUUUCUCUAACCUUAAGCAUAGUGAGCAAGACAAAGUUGAUGAAUGAUAAGUUCAUGAGUGUAGCAUUUAAAACAUUUGCCGGAUCAGAUCGCUCAACCUUAUGGAAAGAUAAUCUAUCUAUGUAUAUGUCUUUUUCUUUAUAUCUCUCAAUGACUGAAUGUGCAACAUUUUAGCUCAUAUGAUUAGGAGUGUGGGAUCAUGGAGGUAGUACUAAGAACAAGGAAUAAAGGACUAAACAUGUUGAAUCAGUUGGGUUGGUUAAUCUAGAGUUGUAAAUCAUACACGUUUGUCUCUUUUAUUUAUAUGAACGCCAGAACCAAGGAGAAGCUUAUAAAAGUGAUAGUCAAGUACCUUAAGAUGUUACCUUGCUUGAAGAGUGAUGGUACAGUAUCAUCUUGUGGAAGCUUUCCUUUCUUAGCGGUUGUGCAUCGUGUUUGUGGCACCCUCCAUGGAUCAUUUCUUAUGUGCUACGUCUUCCUUGUGUAAAUUGUUAAACUUGAUGUGUCUCUCUCUUUGUCUCCAAUGUGAGUUUAUCUCAGGACUUCCCAGGUUGAUAUUGAAAGUUUUCCUGCAGGGGUUAGUCCAACAAAAUAUACCAAUGUCUACUCAAGCAGUUUUUAGUUCAGUAACCAAACUAGACUCCAUGUCUAAUCAGAUUAAGGAAGGCUAUUUAACCUAAGCACCAUGC